This 253-nucleotide ribosomal RNA is filed under the name uncultured bacterium. RNAcentral's name for it is "partial 16S ribosomal RNA". It matches the Rfam family "Bacterial small subunit ribosomal RNA", at positions 524 to 776 of the family's 1533-position model. The record is from RNAcentral.
UACAGAGGUCUCAAGCGUUGUUCGGAUUCAUUGGGCGUAAAGGGUGCGUAGGCGGCGCGGUAAGUCGGGUGUGAAAUUUCGAGGCUUAACUUCGAAACUGCAUUCGAUACUGCCGUGCUAGAGGACUGGAGAGGAGACUGGAAUUUACGGUGUAGCGGUGAAAUGCGUAGAUAUCGUAAGGAAGACCAGUGGCGAAGGCGGGUCUCUGGACAGUUCCUGACGCUGAGGCGCGAAAGCGUGGGGAGCAAACAGG